GGCGGGAUACCGAAGCGGUCAAACGGGACUGGCUGUAAACCAGUUGGCUAUGCCUUCGUAGGUUCGAAUCCUACUCCCGCCACCA
Molecule: transfer RNA, 85 nt
Filed under: Alphaproteobacteria bacterium
Lineage: Bacteria; Pseudomonadati; Pseudomonadota; Alphaproteobacteria
Description: tRNA-Tyr
Rfam family: tRNA
About the family: Transfer RNA (tRNA) molecules are approximately 80 nucleotides in length. Their secondary structure includes four short double-helical elements and three loops (D, anti-codon, and T loops). Further hydrogen bonds mediate the characteristic L-shaped molecular structure. tRNAs have two regions of fundamental functional importance: the anti-codon, which is responsible for specific mRNA codon recognition, and the 3' end, to which the tRNAs corresponding amino acid is attached (by aminoacyl-tRNA synthetases). tRNAs cope with the degeneracy of the genetic code in two manners: having more than one tRNA (with a specific anti-codon) for a particular amino acid; and 'wobble' base-pairing, i.e. permitting non-standard base-pairing at the 3rd anti-codon position.
Source: RNAcentral